RNAcentral lists this ribosomal RNA (1503 nucleotides) under uncultured bacterium. RNAcentral's name for it is "16S ribosomal RNA". It matches the Rfam family "Bacterial small subunit ribosomal RNA". The record is from RNAcentral.
AGAGUUUGAUCCUGGCUCAGAUUGAACGCUGGCGGUAUGCUUAACACAUGCAAGUCGAACGGAAACGAUGGAAGCUUGCUUCCAGGCGUCGAGUGGCGGACGGGUGAGUAACGCGUAGGAAUCUGCCUGAUAGUGGGGGAUAGCCCGGAGAAAUCCGGAUUAAUACCGCAUAAUCUCUACGGAGUAAAGGAGGCCUCUAUUUAUAUGCUUUCGCUAUCAGAUGAGCCUGCGUAAGAUUAGCUAGUUGGUGAGGUAAAAGCUCACCAAGGCUACGAUCUGUAGCUGGUCUGAGAGGACGAUCAGCCACACUGGGACUGAGACACGGCCCAGACUCCUACGGGAGGCAGCAGUGGGGAAUAUUGCACAAUGGGCGCAAGCCUGAUGCAGCAAUACCGCGUGUGUGAAGAAGGCCUUAGGGUUGUAAAGCACUUUCAAUAGAGAAGAAAAGCUUAGAGUUAAUAACUCUAAGAAUUGACGUAACCUAUAGAAGAAGCACCGGCUAAAUCCGUGCCAGCAGCCGCGGUAAUACGGAUGGUGCGAGCGUUAAUCGGAAUUACUGGGCGUAAAGCGCGCGUAGGCUGUUUUAUAAGUCGGAUGUGAAAUCCCCGGGCUCAACCUGGGAACUGCAUCCGAAACUAUUUAACUAGAGUAUGGGAGAGGUAAGUAGAAUUUCCGGUGUAGCGGUGAAAUGCGUAGAUAUCAGAAGGAACAUCAAUGGCGAAGGCAGCUUUCUGGACCAAUACUGACGCUGAGGUACGAAAGCGUGGGUAGCAAACAGGAUUAGAUACCCUGGUAGUCCACGCCGUAAACGAUGAUAACUAGCCGUUGGGGGGAUUUACCCCUUAGUGGCGAAGCUAACGCGUUAAGUUAUCCGCCUGGGGAGUACGGCCGCAAGGCUAAAACUCAAAGGAAUUGACGGGGACCCGCACAAGCGGUGGAGCAUGUGGUUUAAUUCGAUGCAACGCGAAGAACCUUACCUGGUCUUGACAUCCUGCGAACUUUCUAGAAAUAGAUUGGUGCCUUCGGGAACGCAGUGACAGGUGCUGCAUGGCUGUCGUCAGCUCGUGUCGUGAGAUGUUGGGUUAAGUCCCGUAACGAGCGCAACCCCUAUCCUUAUUUGCCAGCACAUUAUGGUGGGAACUAUAAGGAGACUGCCGGUGAUAAACCGGAGGAAGGCGGGGACGACGUCAAGUCAUCAUGGCCCUUACGACCAGGGCUACACACGUGCUACAAUGGGAAGUACAAAGAGUCGCGAAGCCGCGAGGUGUAGCUAAUCUCACAAAUCUUCUCGUAGUCCGGAUUGGAGUCUGCAACUCGACUCCAUGAAGUCGGAAUCGCUAGUAAUCGUAGAUCAGAAUGCUACGGUGAAUACGUUCCCGGGUCUUGUACACACCGCCCGUCAUACCAUGGGAGUGGGUUGCACCAGAAGUGGCUAGUCUAACUUUGUGAGGACGGUCACCACGGUGUGAUUCAUGACUGGGGUAAAGUCGUAACAAGGUAACC